CGCUCGUCCCCUCUAGGACUCACGGCGAAGUGCCUUGUGAAAGGAUUUCCCUUAUUCCUGAGUUAUGUGGCUCCGUGUCAUGUUGUGAAGGCAACAUGUUCGACAGCGGUACCUGCCGGGGGAGGAUCCGCGGCAGCCGCAUUUCUCAUGCCAGACAGCGGAAAAAUGGGAUGUGAGACUUGGGAACGGCGGGGGGCACGGUGACUUUCAGCGACAAGGAGGAUCCCAGCCAGUUGGCAAAUGUCAGGCCGGGCCUCCUGCCUCUCCCUCGGCUCCUUGGGCCUCCGAAGUGCGGGCAGGUGGCGUUCCCCUGCCGGAAUCACCUGUGGCACCUGAAAACCGGGCAGCGGAAAACCGGACAGGUGAAAGUGCUGCACAGCCUCGGAGGGAAGGGAUCUCACCCCGUGCUCAGGGAUGGGAAUGGAUCCUCGACUUCAAUGGAUUAAAUGUCAGCUGGAGUAUUUCAUUGCUCUUAAUGCUC
This is a long non-coding RNA of Corvus hawaiiensis (hawaiian crow), 481 nucleotides long. RefSeq lists it as uncharacterized. The transcript is spliced from 2 exons. NCBI's taxonomy places the organism in Eukaryota, Metazoa, Chordata, Aves, Passeriformes, Corvidae. The record is from RefSeq and is a predicted model, not a curated record.